CCAGACGCUCGCCUAAAUCAACCGCUCGGAUCACGAAGCCAUGCGAAUUUCCACAUUGAGAAUAUAUGAGGAGACUCAGGAAAAGGAUCAUCAAAGCAUGCUCCAACAGUAAAGAUGACAAAAAGUAACAGGACAAGCCAGCAGUAAAGCUGGAAAAACUGACGACCAAUUGACCUGGAAUGAGACAAUUUGUGAUGAUGGACUAGGCACUGCUUAUAAAGUUUCUGUCUCUGGUUUUAUUGGGCACUUGAUUAUUUAAUAUUUUUAGCCUUUUUUCUUUCUUUACUCAAAAUCUUGUCUGGUGAGGUGCUUUUUUAUUCCCCUGUUAUGCUUGUGCUUUCUAAGGCAUUAGAAUCCAAAAACCUCUCUUGUCAACUGGAAAACCCCAUGUUAGCCCACUUCUUUUGCUUUUCUUUAGAAUAAUAACAAAACUUUUUAUUCACAGAAACUGAAAAGAAUUACUAUUCAAAAGUGGGGAAAAACAAGCCCCUUGAAAAUGGAAGUAACUUACCAAAGAGAGUUCAUAUUAGUAAAAGGCUGUAUGGUUGUAUAGUUGCAAAUAAAACAAGGGUAUGUGCACUCCAAUUUUGGAAACAAUGACAUUUACCCAAAAAAAAAAA
Momordica charantia (bitter melon) is the source of this 620-nucleotide non-coding RNA. The record is from RefSeq and is a predicted model, not a curated record. NCBI's taxonomy places the organism in Eukaryota, Viridiplantae, Streptophyta, Magnoliopsida, Cucurbitales, Cucurbitaceae.